GUGAGGAAUUUUCCGCAAUGGGCGAAAGCCUGACGGAGCAAUGCCGCGUGAAGGAUGAAGGCCUAUGGGUUGUAAACUUCUUUUCUCAGAAAAGAAUUAUGACGGUAUCUGAGGAAUAAGCAUCGGCUAACUCUGUGCCAGCAGCCGCGGUAAGACAGAGGAUGCAAGCGUUAUCCGGAAUGAUUGGGCGUAAAGCGUCUGUAGGUUGUUUAAAAAGUAUUCUGUUAAAGAUUAGGGCUUAACCCUAGAUAGUCAGAAUAAACUUUUAAGCUAGAGUUUGGUAGAGGCAGAGGGAAUUCCCGGUGGAGCGGUGAAAUGCGUAGAUAUCGGGAGGAACACCAAAGGCGAAGGCACUCUGCUGGGCCAAUACUAACACUGAGAGACGAAAGCGAGGGGAGCAAAUGGGAUUAGAAACCCGAGUAGUCC
This 426-nucleotide ribosomal RNA is filed under the name uncultured bacterium. Its description in RNAcentral is "bacterial SSU rRNA". It matches the Rfam family "Bacterial small subunit ribosomal RNA", at positions 354 to 796 of the family's 1533-position model. The record is from RNAcentral.